Manduca sexta (tobacco hornworm) is the source of this 582-nucleotide long non-coding RNA. RefSeq lists it as uncharacterized. The record is from RefSeq and is a predicted model, not a curated record. Lineage: Eukaryota; Metazoa; Arthropoda; Insecta; Lepidoptera; Sphingidae. The transcript is spliced from 3 exons.
CUAAUAAGUAAAUUUAUUACGUAUAAUUUCAAUAAUUUCGUUUAUUAAUUCGUUUAAUUCUUAUUUAUAUUGUAUCAAACUAGAAACCAUCUUGUUUUGCCUCCGAAACAUUAAUAACAUAUUUCUACAUGGCCAUGCUUUCUACAAUUAACCUCCUUACUUAAAAUAUGCCAUAAGUACGCCAGUUUACAAAAUUCUUUUAGCAAAAAUUAACAAUUCUCCCAUGAGGCGUUGUAGCGUCGCUUGACAAAUCAGGCAGAUACACCGUGAUGACGUCACGGAACCGUAAUGCCUGUGAUUGGUUCGCACGUGACAGUCGGUGCCUCUGGUGUAGUGUCGGCAGAAAAAAUUGGGCACACGGACUAGUGUAUAACCACGGGAACGAGAAAGCGUCACAUUCCAUUAUACGCGACUGACAAUAAUUCCACAUUUCACACGCAGCAAAUAAUUCCGUGGUUCUGUCCCCGCCUGUCAUGUUUGGACGAUGUUAUGCAAUAAAGGAUAUUUAAUAAGAAGAUAUGUAUAAUUAUGAGAUAUAAGUCUUAUUUCGAAAUAACCUGUUUUUAUCUUAGUUGAUCAAGG